Molecule: ribosomal RNA, 253 nt
Filed under: uncultured bacterium
Lineage: Bacteria
Description: partial 16S ribosomal RNA
Rfam family: Bacterial small subunit ribosomal RNA
Source: RNAcentral
UACGUAGGGUGCGAGCGUUAAUCGGAAUUACUGGGCGUAAAGCGUGCGCAGGCGGUUUUGUAAGCCAGAUGUGAAAGCCCCGGGCUCAACCUGGGAAUGGCAUUUGGGACUGCAAGGCUGGAGUAUGGCAGAGGAGGCUAGAAUUCCUGGUGUAGCAGUGAAAUGCGUAGAUAUCAGGAGGAAUACCGAUGGCGAAGGCAGGUCUCUGGGCUGACACUGACGCUCAUGCACGAAAGCGUGGGGAGCAAACAGG